RNAcentral lists this long non-coding RNA (7522 nucleotides) under Sus scrofa (pig). Its description in RNAcentral is "lncRNA (ENSSSCG00040065312.1)". Lineage: Eukaryota; Metazoa; Chordata; Mammalia; Artiodactyla; Suidae. The record is from RNAcentral.
UUUUUUCUUUUCUUUUUUUUUUUAGGGCCACAUCUGCAGCAUAUGGAGGUUCCCAGGCUAGGGGUCUAAUCAGAGCUACAGCUGCUGGCCUACACCACAGCUCACAGCAACGCUGGAUCCUUAACCCACUGAGCGAGGCCAGGGAUUGAACCCACAACCUCAUGGUUCCUAGUCGGAUUCGUUUCAUCUGUGCCACGACGGGAACUCCAAACAUGUCACUUGCACUCGAUGCAUGCCAGGACUGAGGAAAGAAUGAUUUGGCCCACUAGGAGAUGGACCUAGCCAAGACUCCACCUAUCACCUCACCUCCAUAAGCCCCACUCUCAUCAGUGGACCAUAUCAGGUCUCCGAGGAUUAGUGUCAGUUCACAGACUAAUUCCAGUAUCAAAUUCCUGGAAGGUAUUGGUGCUUCCCUUCUCCCCCAUCCCACCCCCCAUGCAUAGUAACUCUGGAAAAUGAGUCCCACUGGAAAAGGCAUAAGAAAAGAUUUGAGGUAUAAUGCUGGUUUUCCAGGGUUCUUCCUCAAAGAGCAUGAUCUCUCCUGUCCAGGCACUCUUGUUUAGGAACUUAAGAGGCCAUGAAUCUUACUGUGCCAACUGAAGUUACAUUUUCCCCAUUAAUUUCAUCUCAAGGGUUCCAGAGCUAUUUAGCUACCACCACAGGCCCCUGUGGUCAGACUACUCUGCUAUCACUCUGUGCCUGUGGUUAACUGUGCCAUCUGGAUAUUGUCAUUGCUGAUUACAUGCUACCAUCUGGCUUCCACCUCUCCAGUAUUCCAUUAUUCCUACUGAAGGUAGUGAACCCAGUUCCACUGCUGUAUCCCCCACUGUUUCCAGCCUACAGAGACAGCUACAACUGAGCUUUCCAAGGAUAUGUGUGGCCCCUUACCAAAGCCUCUCUUAGUACAUUGGUACAUGGCUUGACUCUACACUAUUGCAGGAGAGAUGGUUGACGAGUAGUGGAAUAGGUUACACCUCUUAUGUGACUCCAAAUGCCCAUCUUCUUAGGCCUCCAGAGUCUAUGUUCAGUGUGCCAGGAGUUUCCAAUGUUUCAGCCAUGUUCCUUCAGGCCUACCACUGGCCAACAACAGCAUCACUCCCUUGUCCCAAGCUAGCACAUCACUCUGAGGUACACCCGAGAAUGAAUGGGAGCUGGUUGAUUUUUAUAUACAUCUAAGGCACUCAUUGACAGCAUUGGAAUCUGUGCCACCAUCCCUGUCCCAUACUCCCUGGGCUUCUGGCCAUCUGGAUUGAUUGGCAAGGCCAUGUAACUUUCAGGGGGUUUAGGAUCCCCCUUCUGAGAUCCAGCGCUGGACCUCUUGGUCUGGAUAUGGUGGACUGUGACUCACUGUGAGUCCAGUGGUCCUGAGAGGUACAGGUAUGCCCAGGAACAGCCAUUGAGAGGUCUUUGUGCUGGGGAGGCUACUUCCCAAGGCAGGAGUGUACAUCUGGGGAUUCAGAGUUCAGUCUCAUUUGUGUCUGUCUGACUGUCCCUGUACCAUAUGUCAGGGUUUGCCUCUUCCCUAUGCCCUUACCAUGUGUAACUGAUACCAGCAGUGCCGAGCAUUUAAUUGUCAUCACAACUCUGUGGCCCUCUCAGUCAGGGCCCUAGGCGUGGUCUUCCAUCACAUCUGUCCUGCUUCUCAGGAGAUAACAAUACCUUCAAGGCUGUUGUGGAGCCCCCUGACCCUGAACCUGCAUUCUCAGGUAGACAUUCUCCUUGAACUUCCGAACUACUCCUUGUUCCUAGGUACGUUCUCUAGCACAGUGUUUCUCAAACUGUCUGUGGAGAAGGGUCAUUGAAAGAAAUUUCCAAGCCAUUGCAGAUAGAUACUUACAGAAAACAGGGUAAAAGUGAUUUACCAAAAAAGAAAGUAAAAAACAAGACAUAGAAAAUAUUAGAUUUGACAUACAUAAUACUACUUUUCAGUAAAUAUAAUUAGAACAAACAUUGCAUAAGAAAAAUUAAAAUCACAAAAAGUACACAUUUCACCAAAAGCAUAUAUACAGAUGAUUAAUGUAAAGAAUUAUAACUACAUUAGUAACUCUUUGUCAUUUGGCAACUGUAAACAAACAAAAAGGAGUCCAAUAAUUCUCAUUUUUGAAGCUUUUAAUUUUUAUUUUUUGACUACACCUGCAGCACGUGGAAGUUCCCAGGCUAGGGAUUGAACCCAUGCCACAGCAAUGACCCAAGCUACUGCAGUAACAAUGCCAGACCCCCAACCUGCUGUGCCACAAGAGAACUCCUUUGAAGCUUUUAAAUGGACUUACUUCUUGCUUGUUAAUUUAAAAAAUGUAUAUUGAUGGGAGUUCCUGUCAUGGCUCAGUGGUUAACGAAUCCAACUAAGAACCAUGAGGUUGCGGGUUCAAUCCCUGGCUUUGCUCAGGGGGUUAAGGAUCCGGCAUUGCUGUGAGCUGUAGUGUAGGUUGCAGACGUAGCUUGGAUCCCGUGUUGCUGUGGCUGUGGUGUAGGCCGGUGGCUACAGCUCCAAUUAGACCCCUAGCCUGGGAACCUCCAUAUGCCAUGGAAGCUGCCCAAGAAAUGGCAAAAAGACAAAAAAAUAAAAUAAAAUAAAAAAUGUAUAUUGAAAUAUGGUUGAUUUACAAUAUAUCAGUCUCAGGUGUACAGCAAAGUGAUUCAGUUAUACGUAUAUAAAUAUAUAUAUAUAUUUCUUUUUGCAUUCUCUUUCACUAUAGAUUAUUAUAAGAUAUUGAGUAUAGUUCCUUGUGCUAUAGUUCCCUGCUACACAGGGAUACAGUAGUAUCCCUGUGCUACACUAUUAACUGUAUAGUUAUGGUUAACUAUAAUAACUAUAUUAUAGUUAAUUUGUAAUAUUAACAUAUUACAAAUGUUAAUAUGAGAGAAACUAAUGCAGUGAUUUUAAAGUGAACAAGCUCAUGAUAUGCAUUUUAAACUUUUGUCUUUGUUGGAUAUCUAUUUUAUAUGUAGCAGUGUUAAUUCUAACCUCCUACUUUAUCUCUCUCCCCUUUCCCCUUUGGUAAACAUACAUUUGUUUUCUCUGUCUGUAAGUCUAUUUUUGUUUUGUAAAUAAGUCCAUGUGUAUCAUUUUUUAAGAUUCCACAUAUAAGCAAUGUCAUAUGAUAUUUGUCUCUGCCUGGCUUACUUCACUUAGUAUAGUAAUCUCUAGGUCCAUCCAUGUUGCUACAAAUAGCAUUAUUUCAUUUUUAUGGCUGAAUAAUAUUCCAUUGUACUGCAUUCCAUGUACCAUAUUUUCUUUAUCCAUUCAUCUGUCAAUGGACAUUUAGGUUGCUUCCAUGUCUUGGCUGUUGGGAAUAGUGCUACAGUGACCACUAUGGUGAAUAUAUUUUCUUUUUUUUUUUUUUUUGCUUUUUAGGGCCACACCCAUGGCAUAUGGAGGGUCCCAGGCUAGGGGUCCAAUCAGAGCUACAACUGCCAUUCUAGUUCUGUGAAAAAUGUCAUUGGUAAUUUUAUAGGAAUUGCAGUGAAUCUGUAGAUUGCCUUGGGUAGUACAGUCAUUUUGACAAUAUUGAUUCUUUCAAUCCAAGAACACAGUGUAUUUUUCCAUUUGUUUGUGUGAUCUUUGAUUUCUUUAUCAGCGUCUUAUGGUUUUCAGAGUACAGGUCUUUUGCCUUCUUAGGUAGAUUUAUUCCUAGAUAUUUUACUCUUUUGGAUGUGAUAGUAAAUGGGAUUGUUCUUUAAUUUAUCUUUCUGACCUUUUGUUGUUAAUGUAUAGAAAUAUAAGAGAUUUCUGUGUAUUAAUUGUGUAUCCUGCAACUUUACUGAAUUCAUUUAAGAGCUCUAGUAGUUUUCAGAUAGCAACUUCAGGAUUUUUCUAUGCGUAGUAUUAUGUCAUCUGCAAACAGUGACAAUUUUACUUCUUUUCCAAUUUGGAUUCCUCUUUUUUCUUUUUUCUUUCUUUCUUUUUUUUUUUCUUCUCUGAUUGCUUUGUCUAGGACUAUGUUGAAUAAAAGUGGUGAGAGUGGACAUCCUUGUCUUGUUUCUGAUCUUUGAAGAAAUGCUUUCAGCUUUUCACCAUUGAGUAUGAUGUUAGCUGUGGCUUGCUUGUUAUCUGAUAGAGUGAAUUGAGACAGUGCUACUUGCAAGGAAUUUUAUAUAUAUAUGCUUUUUCUGUUCUUUGCUUUUGUAAUUUUAAUAGAGAAACCAAGGGAAUCUCAUGCAGAGGUACGUUAAUGAGAACAUAUUAACAUGAGAAAUGUUAAUAUGAGAGAAACGAAUGCAGUGAUUUUAAAGUGAACAAGCUCAUGAUGUACAUUUUAAACUUUUGUCUAAAAUAGAGCAAUUCAUGUCAUAUUUUAAAAAUUCAUCUCCAGUUCUUCAUUACUAACAGUCACAACAAUUAUUCUAUAAGUUAUAGUUAAAUUAUCUUUCAAAGAAAGAAAUGGAUUCCACAUUUAAAAUACUUUGGGUUGUAGAAAAGACUAACCCUAAAACCCCACAAGUGAUAACUCAAUCCUGCUGCACACAUUAAGGGCACACCUGCCCCACAGGUGACUCACUGUGAGUCUUUGAUAACGCCCCAACAGGUCUAUGCCCUGUGCAGUAAGAACAUUGGUCAUGCUCUUGGAGGUUGAAGCUUGAUCAGAAUUCUGUAAAGAUUUCCAAACACAUUCAGUUUCUUAAUUUAUCUCAUUUGUGACCAGCAACAAGCAGUCAAUGGAUAGCACCAGUCUGUGACAGGAGCCAAACUUUGACACAUGUUGCUCUUGGGUCAUUACUGUUCCCUGGGCCAUGGUUGCUAAGCAAUUGAGUAUCACAGCCACUUGAUGCUCCAGUGCCUUGCCCUCUACCUGCACUUAUCUCAUGCUACCAGCAGCCAUCAUCUGGGGACUCAUGAUGCUACUGCAUGCCUGAUAGCCUACAUCCUCUUUCCCCCUGGCAAGGAGGUAUGAUCUGUGUUCCUUAAAUAUGUAAAAAACUGGAUCCCAGAGACCAUUUCGAAAAUGUUUUCUGAGACACAUCCUCAAAGGGUAAGUUGAGGAGACUUUAACAAAGGACUUCGUCAAGGCGUCAGGAGGGUGUGGGGAAGCCAUGAGGGAGAGUGCAGCGCCCUGGGCUGGUAACAGCGAGGUUCCACCACCACCCCCUGAUGCAGGGGCAGGAGCAGUGCUCAUUAUCAGAAACUCAAGGAGGGGGCUAUGUGGAGGGUCUGCCAGCCAGGAACUGUGACCUCGGACAAAGGAACACAGCCAGCCCCGGGGAAGAAAUAUGUUGAUCUGCACUCCCUGCUGAGGAAAGCAUGUGGGUUUAUGGUUUACCCAGAGGGCAGGCUCCUGGGGCAACAAGCAGGGUGCAGAGUGGCUCUGCAGAACAAACUGAAGUCCCUGGCACUUAUUUCUUACACUUCUGAGUUCUCUUCUGGAGAUUUGGGUCUCCUCCAAGUUGUUUCUGAGCCUGGCAAGUGUUUACAUCAUGCCUGUGGUGUCAUUCUUUUGUGUGCUCCCUGUGUCCUGAAAAACUCAAGCCAGAGUCGUGUGUGCACAUGAUUUAAAAACCAUGUGGAGCAAAACAUAUCUGUAAUUGAAUAUUGGUGCAUUUCACACAAUACCUCAACAUUUAAAAAUACCAAUCAGGUGUUCCCGUUGUCACUGAGUGGGUUAAGAACCCAACUAGUAUCUGUGAGGAUGUGGGUUUGAUCCCUGGCCUUGCUUGGUGGAUUAAGGACCGGAUGUUGCUGUAAGCUGUGGCAUAGGCUGCAGAUGUGCCUCGAAUCUGGAAAUGGCAUUGCUGUGGCUGUGGUAUAGGCUGGCAGCUGCAGCUUUGAGUCAACCUCUAGCCUGAGAACUUCCGUAUGCUGCAGGUGCAACCCUAAAAAAAUAAUAAUAAAAAAUAAAAAUACCAAUCAAACUAGGUUCACCCCCAGCUAUCCAUUGUCCAAGGGAGAAACUCAUAGCAAUUUAGCCACUCAUUUCUGUGGGACCUCAAAGCCUCUCCAAGGAGGUAAAACUCAAAAAGCCUCUGGCCCAGAUAAGAAUUACCAGACUCUUAUCAUCCCACCUGUCUCAUUGUAAUUGUUAGAGUGUUCUUAAGGACCUCCCCACCUCCAGCAACUUGGCCUCCUUUCUUUCCUGCCCUCUGCUAGGAAAGGCAUGUGGCCCACUCCUUACCCUGCACCUAUAGGGGCAAUAAAUGCCCCCAGCCAACCAGUAAGUGCAGCAGAAGACCCCAUCUUUCCCCAACCAGUCAGCAUGUCAGCAGGUGUAUGGGAAGACCUCUCCUCUCUCUGCUUUGUUGCUGGGCUAUAAAAACAGACAAGACCGUACACCCAGGGUCAGCUUUCCCUGAUUAUCAGGAAAUCUGCUGUGUUAACAGUGUCUCUUGCCUCAGUAAAGUCGUCUUUUCUUCACCUUUCUUUGAAUCUGGAAAAUUAUUUUUCCACCCAUGUGCAGAGAUCACAAUUUCCAGGGGAUAAGCCUACAUCUUGCAACCUUCCUAGGGUGCAAGUCCCUGCUCCCAUCAUGGAAGCCCUCCCCUCAUCACCGCUACCACCCCCAGGCACUAGAUCUGAUACAGACACCAACAAGACCCAAGCUGGCUUAGGGUCCUGAGUGGCGAGGGCCAUGCUUGCCCACCUGUGGGCGCUGCAAGGCAGAGCCAUGCUGACUGCAGGGGUGCAGCGACAAGGCAGGGCGCUGCUGGAACAGCUCUCUGAGGCUAAAGACCUUUGCCAUUUCUCUGACACUAGCUCUGUUUUACGUUUUCAGACACAAAGAGGUGGCCACAGACUCAGAGAACAUGGUAGGUGGUGGUGGGACAUGUUAUUAGAAUGUGGUAACAGUUUGGCUUUCUUUGAACUUAUUUUCAUGGUUACCUUCUAUUUAUGGAAAAUGAAUCUAGUUUUAUAUUUAACUUAGUGAUCUAAUAUUGCAUUUUGAAAUAAGUUUAUUUAAAUUAAAACAAGGAUUUAUUUUUUAAUGAUUUUUAUUUUUUCCAUUAUAGCUGGAUUACAGUGUUCUGUCAGUUUGCUGCUCUACAGCAAAGUGACCCAGUCUCUCUCUCUCUCUCUCUCUCUCACACACACACACACACACACACACACACACAUUCUUUUUCUCACAUUAUCCUCCAUCAUGCUUCAUUAUAAGUGACUGGAUAUAGUUCCCAGUGCUAUACAGCAGGAUCUCAUUGUUUAUCCAUUCCAAAGGCAAUAGUUUGCAUCUAUUAACCCCAGAUUCCCAGUCCAUCCCACUCCCUCCUCCUCCCCCUUGGCAUCUACAAGUCUGUUCUCCAAGUCCAUGAGUUUCUUGUCUGUGGAAAGGUUCAUUUGUGCCAUAUAUUAGAUUCUAGAUAUAAGUGAUAUCAUAUGGUAUUUGUCUUUCUCUUUCUUAUUUACUUCACUUAGUAUGGGAAUCUCUAGUUCCAUCCAUGUUGCUACAGAUGGCAUUAUAUAUUUUGUUUUUUUCAUGGCUGAGUAGUAUUCCAGUGUGUAUAUAUACCACAUCUUCUUAAUCCAUUCAUCUGUUGAUGGACAUUUAGGUUGUUUCCAUGUCUUGGCUCUUGUGAGUAGUGCUGCUAUGAACAC